UGGAAUCAUGAAUUGAACUGUAGCUUAGUGGUUAAGCAAUCGCACCUUUAACGUCGACUCCUCCGGUGACGAGAGCUUUGCGGAUACAAGCAACGUAGUCUCUCUUUUGCUAUGUAAGGGAUUUCUUGUCUCUUUCCUUUCAAAUUGUUCCUGUAAUCUUGAGGAGAGUCUCUCCGUUGAAUCGUCGAUCUCUCUCUUCCAGAAUCACACUCGACGACGGCAGUUCGUCGACCUCCCCGAUUCGGAACUCUAGGACAACCCAAGUCCCUCAAUUCGUUCGAUUAGCUUCGGAGUAAGGUCAGGAACUGUUUCCCGGCGAUUUGUUGUCAUUCUGGUCUAGUUUGAUGUUGUUUAGUUGGUCGCCGUAGUUGGGGUUUUCCCUCACCAGAUUCGGGAAAUCCUAAUGGAAAGUUGCGGAAGAUUACCGUCGAAAUUCAGUGGCGACUCCUGGAUUUUUCAGUAAUUACGUUUCAAUCACUGAACUUUCAGAAAAUUAGAAAUAGUACCCUAAGUCUUAGUAAAUGACCUGCCGUAAACAAACGAUUAGGAGUUGACAGUUUAGCCUUUAGCUUUCUCUUUGUAGCUGCCGCGGCUGGAACUGUCUGAUUGUGACAGUUUGCACCCAAACGAUUCUAGAAGCCCUCUUUAAGUCCUAUAAUUAGCUCUAAUCGAUUAUAAAAUGCUAGUAAAAUAAUUGAGAGUCAGUAACAUGACCCCUAUAUUUAUAAAUUUAUUAAGUAAUAGUAUUUCAUCAAAUAUUAAUUAUUAAAAAUAUAAUGUAAUUAUGAUUCUUUAUAGGAUAAUUUGAUUAGGUUAAUUAAAUUAGAUCUUCCCUACGAUCUGUCUUCUCCUAUCUUGAAAAUUACCACCUAUAGGAUACAACUAAUAAUAUACUUCUUCAAGUUCUUAGUUAAUCUCUUUAAUUCAAAUUCUUCGAAUUAAUCCCUUCCGUCAUAUCAUAUUAAUUGUUAAGAUUUCUCGAAUAUCGCAAGUCGUCGCCCAAACUAUUUCAACACGUGUUGGAGGUUAGUCUAAUGUCUAAAUCCUCAUCUCCAGGUCAUCAAAUACAUAUCGAUCUUUCAACUUAGAUCUUCAUUCCUCUGAUUGGACCCUCACCGUUUUAUUAUCAGGUGGGUGGUUUAAGGGGGUAAAUUCUACCAUUGUUAUUUUUUUUUACAAUUUAAGUCAUGAAUUACGUUACAACAUUUAUUUUACUUUAUGAGUACUACAUUCACGAAUCAUACAUGAAAACAACCUCACUAGCUAGACCCCUCAGUCUCACACGACUGGGCCAGUAUUGCCCAUACGAUAUGUUGUCUGACGGAUACGUUUUCCUAGACAUCUACGAUUUACACGAUAUGUUGUUUGAGGAUAUAUGCUCCCAAACAUCCACGAUUUUUUACGAUUGGGCAGUAGGGCUAGUUAGUGAGAAGAGGGGAUGCCCAAUAAGAAUUAAGAAACCAUGAAUGAAGCUCAAGGCUAGUAUAAGAAAAUAAGUCACAUAGUUUGACUUUCACAAUAAUGCAUACUAUUACUCAAAUAACACGAUACUACGAUUUUAUAACGCAUUAACAAGAUAACAAAUUGAGCAUGAAAGACUGAACUUGAGCCACGCACCUGGUCAUAUGAGAGAUAGCGGAGUGGAGACGUUUUGCAAGAGCUGCAGCUGUUGCCAAUCAUGUCCCAAGACUCGGAGUGAGUAAAUGGCAAAGGAUGUUCAACAUUUAUGAUGUUUUCCUUUGGAUUUAUUAGAGUUGAGACUUAUUUAUGAUUUAUGGACAUGAUUUCUCAUUUCGGUUUGCCCACAUGUUUAGGGCCAUAUAGUUCGAAACAAUAUUUUAAGAUUUGAAUCAUUUAUUUUGUCGACUUUGACUUUUGUCUUUAAUUCAAGUCUUUCAUCCGCAUCGAGGCAAUUCAGUCAUUUAGGAAAAGUUAAAAAUGUAUGGUGUUUCAAAUCAUCUAUAAUCUUGAUGAUCGAUGCUAACCGUUGAUAUUCUAUUUUAUUUAAGUGGA
Molecule: long non-coding RNA, 2013 nt
Filed under: Linum usitatissimum (flax)
Lineage: Eukaryota; Viridiplantae; Streptophyta; Magnoliopsida; Malpighiales; Linaceae
Description: long non-coding RNA (LUSI_LNC003955)
Source: RNAcentral